This 1052-nucleotide ribosomal RNA is filed under the name Chryseobacterium sp. TS3. Its description in RNAcentral is "bacterial SSU rRNA". It matches the Rfam family "Bacterial small subunit ribosomal RNA", at positions 22 to 1080 of the family's 1533-position model. Lineage: Bacteria; Pseudomonadati; Bacteroidota; Flavobacteriia; Flavobacteriales; Weeksellaceae. The record is from RNAcentral.
GCUCAGAUUGAACGCUGGCGGGAGGCCUAACACAUGCAAGCCGAGCGGUAGAGUCUCUUCGGAGACUUGAGAGCGGCGCACGGGUGCGGAACACGUGUGCAACCUGCCUUUAUCUGGGGGAUAGCCUUUCGAAAGGAAGAUUAAUACCCCAUAAUAUACUGGAUGGCAUCAUCUGGUAUUGAAAACUCCGGUGGAUAGAGAUGGGCACGCGCAAGAUUAGAUAGUUGGUGAGGUAACGGCUCACCAAGUCAGCGAUCUUUAGGGGGCCUGAGAGGGUGAUCCCCCACACUGGUACUGAGACACGGACCAGACUCCUACGGGAGGCAGCAGUGAGGAAUAUUGGACAAUGGGUGAGAGCCUGAUCCAGCCAUCCCGCGUGAAGGACGACGGCCCUAUGGGUUGUAAACUUCUUUUGUAUAGGGAUAAACCUAGAUACGUGUAUCUAGCUGAAGGUACUAUACGAAUAAGCACCGGCUAACUCCGUGCCAGCAGCCGCGGUAAUACGGAGGGUGCAAGCGUUAUCCGGAUUUAUUGGGUUUAAAGGGUCCGUAGGCUGAUUUGUAAGUCAGUGGUGAAAUCUCACAGCUUAACUGUGAAACUGCCAUUGAUACUGCAAGUCUUGAGUGUUGUUGAAGUAGCUGGAAUAAGUAGUGUAGCGGUGAAAUGCAUAGAUAUUACUUAGAACACCAAUUGCGAAGGCAGGUUACUAAGCAACAACUGACGCUGAUGGACGAAAGCGUGGGGAGCGAACAGGAUUAGAUACCCUGGUAGUCCACGCCGUAAACGAUGCUAACUCGUUUUUGGGUUUUCGGAUUCAGAGACUAAGCGAAAGUGAUAAGUUAGCCACCUGGGGAGUACGAACGCAAGUUUGAAACUCAAAGGAAUUAACGGGGGCCCGCACAAGCGGUGGAUUAUGUGGUUUAAUUCGAUGAUACGCGAGGAACCUUACCAAGGCUUAAAUGGGAAAUGACAGGUUUAGAAAUAGACUUUUCUUCGGACAUUUUUCAAGGUGCUGCAUGGUUGUCGUCAGCUCGUGUUGUGAAAUGUAAUCU